RNAcentral lists this ribosomal RNA (400 nucleotides) under uncultured bacterium. Its description in RNAcentral is "bacterial SSU rRNA". It matches the Rfam family "Bacterial small subunit ribosomal RNA", at positions 355 to 753 of the family's 1533-position model. The record is from RNAcentral.
UAGGGAAUAUUGGGCAAUGGGCGGAAGCCUGACCCAGCCAUGCCGCGUGCAGGAUGAAGGCGUUAUGCGUUGUAAACUGCUUUUUUAUAGGAAGAAAUAGUUUUUGCGAAAACAGUUGACGGUACUAUAAGAAUAAGCACCGGCUAACUCCGUGCCAGCAGCCGCGGUAAUACGGAGGGUGCGAGCGUUGUCCGGAUUUAUUGGGUUUAAAGGGUGCGUAGGCGGUAUAUUAAGUCAGUGGUGAAAUACGGUCGCUCAACGAUUGCCGUGCCAUUGAUACUGAUAAACUUGAGUAUGAUAGAGGUAUUUGGAAUGGAUAGUGUAGCGGUGAAAUGCAUAGAUAUUAUCCAGAACGCCAAUAGCGAAGGCAGAGUACUAUGUCAUUACUGACGCUGAUGCA